Long non-coding RNA from Helianthus annuus (common sunflower), 426 nucleotides. RefSeq lists it as uncharacterized. The record is from RefSeq and is a predicted model, not a curated record. NCBI's taxonomy places the organism in Eukaryota, Viridiplantae, Streptophyta, Magnoliopsida, Asterales, Asteraceae. The transcript is spliced from 3 exons.
CGAUCAGGAGCUCCCAAAGGAGCCAAACCCUAGCUCAAGCUUAUAUGAUCAAAUUGAAGGGUAAAUCGAAGCUCAAAAUCAUGAAUAAACACGGAUUAAUGAUCACCAUCACAAGAGGAUCAUAAGGAUAGGAAUCACAUUAGCAUGGACUCAAGAACGGAAGGUUAACGGGUCAAGUGGAGGCGAGGAAUCAAGCAUGAACACUAACGCUUAAGGUUGUACAAAUCACAGAUUAUCACCAUGAGGUGUAGCGAUCAAAGACCGAGUCACGAGAUAGAUUGUACGGGAAUGCUUGAUUAUGUAAAAUGAUAGUUAUAAGUUAUGCUUUUAUUUUGUAAAUGAGUACAAAAGAUGCAUAUAUUGUAAGAAGGUAUUUUAUAAUGAACUUGCAAGUAGGUCAAAACGUUUUUAAUGAAAGAAAUUUUU